AGUCGGUCCACACACGUACUAAUAGUGUGGGAAGACAGCUAGCAAAACACCGCGUUUAAUAUGUUUAUUUGGUUUAAGCACGCGGGCAAAUUACCUAGC
This 99-nucleotide ribozyme is filed under the name unclassified sequences. RNAcentral's name for it is "Hairpin ribozyme 1 from viruses-like metatranscriptomes". It matches the Rfam family "Hairpin ribozyme 1 from viruses-like metatranscriptomes". The record is from Rfam by way of RNAcentral.